GACGAACGCUGGCGGCGUGCCUAAUACAUGCCAGUCGAACGAACCGCGACUAGGUGCUUGCACUUGGUCAAGGUGAGUGGCGAACGGGUGAGUAACACGUGGGUAACCUACCUCAUAGUGGGGGAUAACAGUCGGAAACGACUGCUAAUACCGCAUAGGACAUAGGAUCACAUGAUCCAGUGAGGAAAGGUGGCGCAAGCUAUCGCUAAGAGAUGGACCCGCGGUGCAUUAGCUAGUUGGUAGGGUAAAGGCCUACCAAGGCGAUGAUGCAUAGCCGACCUGAGAGGGUGAUCGGCCACAUUGGGACUGAGACACGGCCCAAACUUCUACGGGAGGCAGCAGUAGGGAAUCUUCCGCAAUGGACGCAAGUCUGACGGAGCAACGCCGCGUGAGUGAAGAAGGUCUUCGGAUCGUAAAGCUCUGUUGUUAGAGAAGAACAGCGCAUAGAGUAACUGUUAUGCGUGUGACGGUAUCUAACCAGAAAGCCACGGCUAACUACGUG
Molecule: ribosomal RNA, 502 nt
Filed under: uncultured bacterium
Lineage: Bacteria
Description: partial 16S ribosomal RNA
Rfam family: Bacterial small subunit ribosomal RNA
Source: RNAcentral